Molecule: long non-coding RNA, 1773 nt
Organism: Onychomys torridus (southern grasshopper mouse)
Lineage: Eukaryota; Metazoa; Chordata; Mammalia; Rodentia; Cricetidae
Exons: 3
Source: RefSeq, a predicted model, not a curated record
UAAGGAUGAUGAUACAAGCCUACAAUUCCAUCACUCAGAAAGGCAGGAGGAUGGCUCACAGUUGAAGGCCAGCCUGGACUACAGAUGGAGAGAAACAGCAAUGGGGCCAUGAUAUGACGACUGCAGACCUCGGAGGGUGGUUAAGAAGUCCAGAGAACAGCAGAAACCAGAAGCUCUGGACAGCCUGGGGGCUUUUUGGCAACAAGGCACCAGGGGCCACUGAUACCAUAUUCCAUAUUCCAAGUGCACAGUAGCUGUUAAAUAAAGUGCAGAACUGUCUACAGGAAUGCCAUUUCCAGACCCAGCCUUCAUCCUACAGUCCCAGGAUCCAUGAUCAUUUCUUCAAAUGCUACCAUCUCCCUUGGCAUCAAGCCAGAGGUGUUCCAGCACUGAAAGGACAUCUGGCCUUCAUGAUUAAAUAAAAUGGCCCUACCCAUGGUCUGGUAGGGGACCAGCUUCUGAAACACAGUUUCUAAACUAAAUUAUAAGAGUUUUUGGAUUCUUUGUUCACAGCCUUGUUAUGAAUAUGCGUUUGUUUUUGCAUAUACUCAUAUACUCAGUUGUGCAUGUUCAUAAGAAGUGUCUAUAUACGUGUGCAUGCAUCUGUGUAUGUAUGCAGAGGCCAAACAACAGUCUCAGCGUUGUCUUCAGAAGCUUUCCACCUUUUGCUUGAGACAGGGUCUCUUACAGGCCUGGAUGUGUAAGAGUCAAAGCUGGCUGAAUGAAGAGAUUCCGGGCUCAGGUCCUCACACUUGCAAGGCAAGAACUUCAUCUUUACCGGCUGAGCUGGUCUCCCCACCCCUUAUUAUGCAUACAUUAUUCUGCUGGCAGACCGGAUGAGCAGUCUUCCUGCUGAACAAGGGUCACUGUGCCCGAAAUUGAACUGGGAGCUCCUGACAACACCAUUCUGCCCACACAUCUCACAAAGCCGCACUAAAGAAGCAGUACCCUUCAUUCCCAAGAAGUGCGCGCAUGGAUUCUCAUUCCCAGAAAUGUUUCCUCAGCUUAAUAUCCACUUGUCAAGGGCAAGCUGAGCGAGCUUAUGGGCAGAAGUCAUGUCAACUAAACAUACCUAAAAUAGCAGUGGAGAGGUAUAGGUGCAGCUCUGUGAAGCCAGCAGCUCUUACUCAUCAGCCUGGUUAUUCCUUUUGUGGGAUUUAACUCUCCAAACAGGAGCUGGCAGUAAUCACAGUGCUCAGGGCUGUGCGCACACACACACAAUGUUUGCUUGUGGCUAACAGCUGCUGGUAAAUAUGAACACUUAUGUGGGCUACAGUCUCUUCUGUGCUCAGUGGCUAUCAGAAGACAGGGAUGUAUAGUGCACUAUCCAAUAAACAGUUCCAUCCAUAAAGGGAAAAUUAUAAGCACUUCUGAUGCUGUAGAUAGAAUUCUAAUUUCACUUUUUAAAAUAACAGUUUUAUUACAGUAUUAUUCAUACACCAUAAAGUUUACUUAUUAAAGGAUAUAGUGGGGGAGGACAUGGCAGCCUAACAACUCUAUUUAGAACAUCAUUUCCUAAAGCAAGUUCUUCACUCAUCAGCAAUCUCUCAGCCAGCCAGCCAUUCCCAGCACUAGUUGGUGUCAGAACACAUUUUUAUCCCAACUAUGGACACAGAACCUUACAUUAUUGGCUAUUUUCUGACCUGUUUCGCAUACACAGCAUUUGAGUCCUAUCCAUGUCACAGUAUAUGCCUUACUUCAUUUUUAUGGUUAAGUAAUACUCCAUUUACACAUUCAGUACAUUUUGUGUAUGCUCUGUUCAGUUAAUAAAUA